UCCAGAGUUUGAUCAUGGCUCAGAUUGAACGCUGGCGGCAGGCCUAACACAUGCAAGUCGAGCGGUAGAGAGGUGCUUGCACCUCUUGAGAGCGGCGGACGGGUGAGUAAUGCCUAGGAAUCUGCCUGGUAGUGGGGGAUAACGCUCGGAAACGGGCGCUAAUACCGCAUACGUCCUACGGGAGAAAGCAGGGGACCUUCGGGCCUUGCGCUAUCAGAUGAGCCUAGGUCGGAUUAGCUAGUUGGUGAGGUAAUGGCUCACCAAGGCGACGAUCCGUAACUGGUCUGAGAGGAUGAUCAGUCACACUGGAACUGAGACACGGUCCAGACUCCUACGGGAGGCAGCAGUGGGGAAUAUUGGACAAUGGGCGAAAGCCUGAUCCAGCCAUGCCGCGUGUGUGAAGAAGGUCUUCGGAUUGUAAAGCACUUUAAGUUGGGAGGAAGGGCAAUUACCUAAUACGUAGUUGUUUUGACGUUACCGACAGAAUAAGCACCGGCUAACUCUGUGCCAGCAGCCGCGGUAAUACAGAGGGUGCAAGCGUUAAUCGGAAUUACUGGGCGUAAAGCGCGCGUAGGUGGUUUGUUAAGUUGGAUGUGAAAUCCCCGGGCUUAACCUGGGAACUGCAUUCAAAACUGACAAGCUAGAGUAUGGUAGAGGGUGGUGGAAUUCCCUAUGUAGCGGUGAAAUGCGUAGAUAUAGGAAGGAACACCAGUGGCGGGUACGACCACCUGGACUGAUACUGACACUGAGGUGCGAAAGCGUGGGGAGCAAGGGCUAUUAGAUACCCUGGUAGUCCACGCCGUAAACGAUGUCAACUAGCCGUUGGGAGCCUUUUUGAUUUAGUGGCGCAGCUAACGCAUUAAGUUGACCGCCUGGGGAGUACCUUUCCAGAGAUGGAUUGGUGCCUUCGGG
Molecule: ribosomal RNA, 912 nt
Filed under: uncultured bacterium
Lineage: Bacteria
Description: bacterial SSU rRNA
Rfam family: Bacterial small subunit ribosomal RNA
Source: RNAcentral